RNAcentral lists this transfer RNA (77 nucleotides) under Ruminococcus sp. RNAcentral's name for it is "tRNA-Ile". It matches the Rfam family "tRNA". From Rfam's summary of the family: Transfer RNA (tRNA) molecules are approximately 80 nucleotides in length. Their secondary structure includes four short double-helical elements and three loops (D, anti-codon, and T loops). The record is from RNAcentral. Lineage: Bacteria; Bacillati; Bacillota; Clostridia; Eubacteriales; Oscillospiraceae.
GGUUCCUUAGCUCAGUUGGUUAGAGCUCCCGGCUCAUAACCGGACGGUCCUGGGUUCGAGUCCCCGAGGAACCACCA